Molecule: non-coding RNA, 1251 nt
Organism: Lolium perenne
Lineage: Eukaryota; Viridiplantae; Streptophyta; Magnoliopsida; Poales; Poaceae
Source: RefSeq, a predicted model, not a curated record
CCAAACCAUUCUUCUCCCUAUAUAUCCCUUCUUCCUCACCUCCAUGUCCCCAGACAGCCCUGGUCUCUUGGCUCUCAUAUCUACUGUAUGGCUUUCUUGCUAGAUCUAGCUUUCCAAACACCACAGCUCACUGCUAAAUGGCAUAUUGAUUGGUCAUGUUCUUCCUCAUGGGCUAGAUCUCAUGACUGAAAUUUUAGACUUUGCAGAACUUAAUAUAGCAAAAGAGAGGGAUUUGUUUGGUGUAUUUCUCUUGAUCUAUUUAUGCAUGCGCUUGGCUCAUUUCUCUGUAGGUUUCAUUUGUUCCCUUCUAUCUGGGAGAUCACUGGGUUAAUUGCAUGCGAUAUGGGCAUGCGUGCAUAGCCUACAGGUGUUUUUGUAUGUAUCUCCAUCUAGCUUUCAUGUCUCUACUGAUUUCAUUACAGGUUCAUGAGAAAUGGAAUGGAUCAACCUCAGGAGAAGAAUAGGUCAGCCUUCCAAUAUACAUAAGCUGGGGGAUGAUGAUGAUGAGGAGGAGGUUCGAUUUAAAAAAUGACGAGGAGGAUGAUGUAUCAAUUUGAGGGAGCUCACUUCAGUCCACUCAUGGGAGGUAGCGGGGAUUGAACAAGCUGCCGACUCAUUCACUCAAACACACAGUGGAUAUGAGAUUUGUUCAGGCAAUAGUAGUAUAUAACAACAUUUACUGUGUGAACGAGCGAAUGCAGCGGGAGAUUGUUCUCUCUUUCCUCCUCCAUGCUUGGACUGAAGGGAGCUCCCUCAGCUCUCAGCAGCUUCAUCAGGUGAUCAGAUCGUCAAGAACAAUCCAGAUUCUGGUUUAAUAGAGUGGGAGCUAGGAACUGACCUCACAAUAUAUGUGUGGGCGUCUGCAAAUUAAUGGCAAAGAAAAGCAAUAAUAGCCGUUUCACAUGCCGGUGAUGGCGGCCUGGAAGAAAGGAAGCCCUUAAAAGAAGAUAUCAGGCCUCCUGUAGUCCUGUUCCUCUCAAGUGCUUAUGAACAGCACUGAUGCUUCCCUCGUGCAAGGUGCAUUGUAUAUGCCAUCCAAGUACAGCAGCAAGCCAGCAAGUGCAUCUGUUGCUCUACUUUUGAUAUGCUACUAUGCUACCCUUCCCCAUAUGUUUCCUCUCCCAUCUCUGUUCCGAUGUUAAAGUACAAUAUGUUCAGGUAUCGCAAUGCGUGUCCCAUGCUUAAUUUAGUGUCAUAUGUUCCGAUGAUGAAGUACAAUCCAGCCAUUUCUUUAUGCCUGAAUACAUGAAA